Molecule: long non-coding RNA, 2809 nt
Organism: Dromaius novaehollandiae (emu)
Lineage: Eukaryota; Metazoa; Chordata; Aves; Casuariiformes; Dromaiidae
Exons: 3
Source: RefSeq, a predicted model, not a curated record
AGGGGGCAGCUGGCUGCAAGGAAGACGAAGUGCUGGGAAAGCUGGACCCGUAUCUGUCCCCGUGUGUCCACCAUCUUGCAGCCAGCCAACUGAAGGCACGCUUGACCUCCUUCCUAAGCUAGAGGACUUAACAUGUUAACACUGCCCAAUUAUGCCACAUGUGGUACAUAUCCUGAAGAGACUAUCCAUGAAGAAAUAGGAUCCAUAUGGGCCGAUUCUUACCAGUGAGCAUGUCCCGCUGAAGAACAGGCUUGGGUAUCUGCCUACACAGAUCAGCUCAACAAGACUAAGGCCUCUACUCUUAAUUUAUAGUGCUGAACAGCUCUCAAGAAGAGUGAGGGAUCUAUAGGAGGUAUAGCAUUAAAUGGACAGCACUGCGACAUACGUUUCCCUGCCAAGGAGCAAGGCCUUUGCUGUGGUGUGAGGUUCUGUGCUCUAGGAAUGAGCAGGAGUAUCAGUCUGGCCUGCAUUCCUCCCUUGAGGAAAGAGACAGAUGAUAUCAUCGUUGGAGUUGUUUGGACAUCAUAAAGAACAAAAGAGCUGGAGCCUGGAUGCAAUGAGCCAGCUGAGUAUACACUACCGUUCCUGGGGACCUCUUCAAGGAAAAAAUGCUGACAGAGCCAAUUCCUGCACUAUAUGCUUCUCCAAGGGAUGCUUAAGGCAUCUUCUCCCGUAACAGCACUGUCUUCUCUUACGGUGAUAACAGUUUACGAGUGGUUCUACUUCAUGUGUUCCUCUUCAUGCUGACACUCGUGUCCUACAACUGAGCAAGGUUGCGUGGUACAUUCACGUCUUUGCAGCUGGUCAUUCUCAUUAAACAGCAAAGGACAAUUUUGCCCGAAGAAAAUUUCCUCAGCAACAAGCUUCUGCUCUGUCUGCUCACAAACUGGAGAGCAGCGAUGGGAUCUCCUGAAGACAACAGCACAGACUGAGUAGAGAAAGGGACAGAGAGGUAAUGGGAGGAGGGCUGAGUUGAAGAGGCAGAGGAAAAGACUGCAAAUUUCACACUUUACAAGUGAAGUUCUGGACCAACAUGGCAGAAAAAAGGGCAGGAACAGGUUAGAGACAGUAAUGUGAGUGUAAAGGAAGCAGCUUAAGUUGGUAACAUCCAUUUCAAGUAUUAAACCUCCAGGACUGACUCGGAAACCUACCUCCCAUGUUUAUCUAAUUACAAAAAUUAAUAUUGUCAUUUCAUCUUUUCCAACAAAUCAGCAUUUCCUGAAGUAUUGUGAUACUUUCCCUGAGCUAAGUAUAGCUCCACUAGGAUUUUCAUUUACAGGCUGGUAAUAUCUUAUUACAUUUAAGGAUUGUGCUAGCUCAGAUAAAAAUGUGUCUUGCAUUCCUCACUUGUCCCAGAGCUGCUGUACAGUAGAUAUUUGAAUGUGCUAAAGGCACAGAGAGUAACAAGUAUGCAGAUUUUAAUUAUUUUAAGCAUAUUUUAAUAGAUCGUAGUCAUUACAGAGUAACUGCUUCUCCAGAGCAGGGAGAGAGUUUGGAAACAGAGCUAUAAGAUGAUUGAUAUUUUUGAAUCAACAGUAAUCCUGAAUAAUCAAAAAAUGAUGUCUUCUAAAUAAACAAUAAAAAUCUGGUCAAGUUGGUUUGAAGCACUAUUUUAUAUAUUUUUAAUUCUUUCAAGGUUAAAUUGAAGACAUAUUAAGACAAACGUGGGUGGUUGGAAAUCAUCAAAAUAAAAUAGUUCAGCUUAAAACUACUGAGUUUCAUUUAUACACAAACCAUUCAGAGAAACAGAGCAAUUCAAACAAAAGUUUGAUGUUUCCAAGUUUACUGAAGAGUUUCAACCAAAAAAUUUGGGUGUACACUAUGUAAAAAUCAUAUGGCUGUACUAUCCAAAUCCUCCUCAUUUUCAUAAUAGAUAAAGAUAAAUGCAAUCUUCCUUUUGUUUUAUUUUGCUUUUCAUCUCAUAAGAUUGUUCAUCUCAUUAGGCUGAGAAAGCACAGUUGUGCUUUCAGCAAAUCUUUUGUCUAUGGCUGGGUUUUUCUUUUUUUGGCUCAGUUUACUUAUAAAUAAAUAAUGUGUUGAUGUAGCAGAGUAAGGGGAAGGACAUUUUUGGUGUUUGGACAAUGCGGCAUUCAUUUUCAAUGUGGAAGAAAACUGUGUGUUGUAUAACAAAGCAGUCAUCUUAGGUCUGCUGUUCUUACACUUUCUCCCUGUAUUAACAAAGCAAAGAACAUGAAGCAAAACUGUAUGCUAGGGAAAAAGAUGUCAGCAACGAUUUCUCACUAGGAAUGCAAUGGGUAAAUUUAGCUUGGCUUCCAGCACAGGUGAGAUCUGAGGUAGAUAUGAGGUGAUUCUGUGUGUGAAAAUGUCCUAGAGUACUUGAAAUUGGUGUCUUUCAGAACAGGAUUUCCAGAUGCUGCAGUUAAAUCUCGAAAGCUGUUCUGUAAAGUUAUCCCACAUUAUGGUUUUGUAAAAGGGGAUGCAACUCAGCAGAACUAAGUGAGAAAUUGCAGCUUUUUGUGUGCUCUCAGCACUUCACUGUGUUUGCAUCUAGUAUGUAAAAAUGAUGGUCAUUGCGUGAUAUUAUUUCAUUGUCACUUAUUAACACACAAUUCAGCUCAAACAUUUGGCUGUUUCUGAGCAUGUGAAUUCAGAUGCCAACGCAGGGAAUUAAAAUGAAAGCCUCACUGUGUUACAAAGGACAUUUUAAUGAUCAAGGACAGUUGUUGCUACAAAUGUUUGAAAAGGAUACCUCCUAUUUUGCAGCAACCCCUGAAGUACCACAGGUGCUGUACAACUGUGGUAAUGGAAAAAGAGCCAAAUGUCAAUGCCAGAAAGACCAGUGCUGUGU